GGCCCUAUCGUCUAAUGGUUAGGACACCGCCCUUUCAAGGCGAGAAUCCCGGUUCAAAUCCGAGUAGGGCUGCCA
Molecule: transfer RNA, 75 nt
Filed under: Alphaproteobacteria bacterium
Lineage: Bacteria; Pseudomonadati; Pseudomonadota; Alphaproteobacteria
Also listed under: 1 other name
Description: tRNA-Glu
Rfam family: tRNA
About the family: Transfer RNA (tRNA) molecules are approximately 80 nucleotides in length.
Source: RNAcentral